This 253-nucleotide ribosomal RNA is filed under the name uncultured bacterium. RNAcentral describes it as "partial 16S ribosomal RNA". It matches the Rfam family "Bacterial small subunit ribosomal RNA", at positions 524 to 776 of the family's 1533-position model. The record is from RNAcentral.
UACGUAGGGGGCAAGCGUUGUCCGGAUUUAUUGGGCGUAAAGAGCGUGUAGGCGGCUUGGUAGGUCCGCUGUGAAAACUCGAGGCUCAACCUCGAGAUGUCGGCGGAAACCACUUGGCUAGAGUCCGGAAGAGGAGAGUGGAAUUCCCGGUGUAGCGGUGAAAUGCGCAGAUAUCAGGAGGAACACCGGUGGCGAAGGCGGAUCUCUGGGCCAUUACUGACGCUGAGGAGCGAAAGCGUGGGGAGCGAACAGG